CGGGGUAUAGCGCAGUCCGGCUAGCGCACCUGGUUUGGGACCAGGGGGUCGCAGGUUCGAAUCCUGCUACCCCGA
This 75-nucleotide transfer RNA is filed under the name Draconibacterium sp. Its description in RNAcentral is "tRNA-Pro". It matches the Rfam family "tRNA". Rfam says of the family: Transfer RNA (tRNA) molecules are approximately 80 nucleotides in length. Their secondary structure includes four short double-helical elements and three loops (D, anti-codon, and T loops). RNAcentral also lists the same sequence under 3 other names. The record is from RNAcentral. Lineage: Bacteria; Pseudomonadati; Bacteroidota; Bacteroidia; Marinilabiliales; Prolixibacteraceae.